RNAcentral lists this transfer RNA (76 nucleotides) under Streptomyces sp. ICBB 8177. RNAcentral describes it as "tRNA-Lys". It matches the Rfam family "tRNA". From Rfam's summary of the family: Transfer RNA (tRNA) molecules are approximately 80 nucleotides in length. Their secondary structure includes four short double-helical elements and three loops (D, anti-codon, and T loops). Lineage: Bacteria; Bacillati; Actinomycetota; Actinomycetes; Kitasatosporales; Streptomycetaceae. The record is from RNAcentral.
GGGCCAUUAGCUCAAUUGGCAGAGCAGCGGACUUUUAAUCCGUUGGUUCAGGGUUCGAGCCCCUGAUGGCCCACCG